Homo sapiens (human) is the source of this 2077-nucleotide long non-coding RNA. Ensembl annotates it as COX10 divergent transcript. Its record names the gene COX10-DT. The record is from Ensembl. Lineage: Eukaryota; Metazoa; Chordata; Mammalia; Primates; Hominidae.
UCCGAAAGGAGAGCGUGGUGUCUGGAGGUGAUCGGAAGGGACUGGCUGGAGUGUGGCGGGCUGACAGGUCUGAGGCCUGAAGGACUUCCGGGAACCGCAAAGCACGGUGUGCCUCCGCUGUCCUGAAGAAAAAGCCGCGCGCGGACGACUGGCCGGCCCGCGCUUGCAGCUCCCAGAAGUUGACAGGCAUCCUCCGGUGACCGGUGUGAGUAUGGCAUCAGGAUGAUUUGACUGCAAGCAACAGAAAAAUCAAACAAAAAUGGCCUAAGCCAAGAAGAGAAAUGAUUAUUUCACAUUCCAAGAAGUUUGGGAGUCGAGUGGUUAAACGGCUAAUUAAUCUAGAGCUCAACAGUAUCACCCAGGACCCAUUUUCACUAUGGUGGCUAAAGCUCUGCACCCUUCAGGCUUGCACCAUGGCAGCAGCAGUGACAGUAAAGACACCCUUACACCACAAUGCUCCAUGACCAGGGAGAGGGUCUCCUCUCUCCUGCCCCUUUCUGGAGGCUCCACCGAAGAUUUCUCUUCACAUUCCGUUUCUCAUUCCUGAAGCAGUUGCUGGCAACAGGGAUGGACUUACCGCAAUGGGUACAGAGCAACUAAGAUUCACCACUAGCCUAUUCUUGAAUUUUUAUUCUUUCAUAUGCAUUUAAGAAUCAUCUUGUCAAGUUCUUCGAAAAACCCUACUGAAAUUUUUAUUGAAAUUGUAUUGAAUUUAUAUGUGAAUUUGGGAAAAAUUGUCUUUUUUUUUUUUUUGACGGAGUCUCGCUCUGUCACCCAGGCUGGAGUGCAGUGGUACAAUCUCAGCUCACGGCAAACUCGGCCUUCUAGAUUCACGCCAUUCUCCUGCCUCAGCCUCCCAAGUAGCUGGGACUACAGGCACCCACCACCUGGCCUGGCUAAUUUUUUUUGUAUUUUUAGUAGAGACGGGGUUUCACCAUGUUAGCCAGGAUGCUCUCGAUCUCCUGACGUCGUGAUCCGCCAGCCUCGGCCUCCCAAAGUGCUGGGAUUACAGGCGUGAGCCACAGCGCCCGGCCAAUUUCACAAAUAGAUUUUUUUUCUUACUGUAAAUCUUAGCAAGCUCAGCAUACGAAUUUUUUUUUCCUUAAAUUGAAAGCUUUUACCCUUUCACUUAAAGGCAGCACUUUAUGGCUUCUCUUGGGCAUAUCCAAAUUGCUACCAUCACUACUCGUAUUAGUCCAUUUUCACGCUGCUGAUAAAGACAUACCUGAGACUGAGAAAUUUACCAAAUAAAGAGGUGUACUGGACUUACAGUUCCACAUGGCUGGGGAGGCCUCACAAUCAUGGUGGAAGGCAAGAAGGAGCAAGUCAUGUCUUACAUGGAUGGCAGCUGGCAAAGAGAAAGCUUGUACAGGGAGACUCCCGUUUUGAAAACCAUCAGAUCUUGUGAGACUCAUUCACUAUUACAAGAACAGUGCAGGAAAGAUGCACCCCUGUACUUCAAUCACCUCCCAGCAGGUUCCUCCCACGACAUGUGGGAAUUGUGGGAGUUACAAUUCAAGAUGAGAUUUGGUUGGGGACACAGCCAAACCAUAUCACUACUCUUGUGCUUUGGGGCCAUUAUGAAGUAAAACAAGCAUUAUUUGAACACAAGAACUGCAAUACCACCACAGUAGAUCUGAUAACUGUUGGCUACUAAGUGACUAAGGGGCAGGUGAAGUAUACAGCUUGGAUGCGAUGGACAAAGAGGAAGAUCUACCUCCCAGCUGGGAUGGAGCAGGACGAUGCAAGAUUUCAUCACACUACUCAGAAAGGCAUGCAGUUUAAAGCUCGUAAAUUAUUUCAGGAAUUUUCCAUUUAAUAUUUUCAGGCUGUGGCUGACCGUGAGUAACAAACCCAGGAAAGCGAAACUGCAGAACAGUGGAUGGGAGAAAGGGUGAAUUACUGUAUAUUCAUGAGGGAUAUUAGUCCAUAGUUUCUUUUUUCCCUUUUAACAAAUUUUUGGGUUUUGUAUAUAGUUUGUCUGGUUUUGGUAUCAGGGUAAUACUAGCUUCAUAAAAUGAAUUGGAAAGCGUUUCUUCUGUUUUCCUAAAAAGAUUAUAUGGAAUUAGCAUUCAUU